Anas platyrhynchos (mallard) is the source of this 12028-nucleotide non-coding RNA. The record is from RefSeq and is a predicted model, not a curated record. Lineage: Eukaryota; Metazoa; Chordata; Aves; Anseriformes; Anatidae.
UUACACUGUAGUCACUUUUGCAAUAGUUACUUCAUAGAAAGGAUUCAGUGUGAGCUUAAGGAAUUACUCCCUUACCAGUCGUGUUCCUGUACUGCCCGUUUUGCCUGGGUAAUGGUUUGAAAAGUAAUCCUGUAACAAGAUUCCUGAAAUUCCCUCAGAAAUAUUCACACUCCUCUCCCAUCCUAUUUAUUUUUAUUUUACUUUUUAUCUGCUUGCUUCGUGGCCCCACAAAAGGCUGCUUGGUUCAAGGAUAUCGAGGAGGAGGGAGCUGGGAGCAGUGUUGCUGUUGAAUUGCUGUGUAGGAGCUUUGCCUAAGGCCCUGCUGAUAAUUAACAGGUUUGUGACGGUCCAGUGACCAGAUCUUGAAGGGAAGGAUGACAAGAUAGGAAGAAUAAUGGUGUGAUGGUGUGGAAAGGGAGAGAACUGGGCAGCUGCUGCUGCUCCUGCAGUUCUGCUUGUUUUCAGAACUGGCAGACUGGUUAAGAUGUCAUUUGGAAGCUGGUCAGAAGGAGGCAGAGAGUACACAGAGCUGGGUGUUUGGGUGCAGAAAAAGAAGGGUGUAUUCUGGUGCAAACACAGCUCAGUGAAAAAUAAACUGUUCGUGUGGGGGAUUUCACUGUAACAAUGUCCAAUAUCUAUGUAUUAAGCAAAGCUAUUUGGCUAGUCCACGUCGAUUGCUGUUGAUGACAGCAAAACAGAAGGAAUGAUCUAUGUUUUCACUUGCUGUCUUGAGCCUUGCACACACUUAGCUAACAUUAAUGCUAAUGGCUGUUUAAUACUCUAUAUGGAAUGUGCAGGGGAAGCUUUCACCAUGGCGAGUCACUGACAGAUGUUUACAUUGUAAAAGCCUCCAUUUCAAACAGCUUCCCUGCUCACAACCAGCUCCCGGGAGAGGCAAAGGGCUUUGUAAGUUUGGAGAUCAGUUUCCUCUUCUUUCUUUCUCUGUCCGCCUAUCAAAAUGUUGAUGCAUGCAGAUGGUUUGGGGAUCUACCAACAGCAGUAUAAUUCCUGACAUACAGGUUUUAAAAAGGAUUGGGUUUUGUACAUCUGUCCCUUCACAGGCAGUACCGUUUCUUAAAGGACAGCAGUACCGUUUCUUAAUGGACAAUAGAUGACAUCUGCUGAACUGGCUGUCCUGCUUGUGUUCUGACUACGUUAUUUUAACCAGUGCGUGACCUGGCAGGAAACAGUGACUUUGCAUUCUGAAGUUUUACCUUUGGUCACUUCAACUUGCUUCUUUUUAGCUGUCAGCUGUCUGUUUUAGAGCACAGUGAGCCUCAGAAUGCUUGUCUAGAGGAAAAAGAGGGGAAAAAAAGCCCACAUCCUGAGACUUGGACUUGACAAUUUCUAAAAUAUUUACAGAGAACAGAAAAUCCAAUUACAUCAAAGCCGCCUGACGGGCAGGCAGCAGCACACGAUGCUCAGCUAACGAGGGGUUUUGAUGGCUUGGAACAUUUCCCGGUUGGGCUCCCUGGGCUGGGAGGGUUUAGCAGUUGGCAGAGGUGAGAUCUGUAUGCUGGCAUCUGAUCCAAGAGCUUGGGUCAAUCUGGCGGCACAAAAGACUCCAUUCCUGUGUUGGCUGGAGAGACAGCACACUGCUUGUGCAUUGCUGUAAAGGUCACUAAGAUGCCAGCUCUUUCCCCGAACUAUUUAUCAGAUUUCUGUUGUUCUGCUAUUUGCCUAAUGUUUAUUGUCUAAUAUAUUGUGUUCUCCCUCGAUGUGUAGUAUGGUCUGAAGAGCUGAAGCUGGUAACUUGGCUUCAUCUUGUUGGAUACUGAGCGGUUUUCCAGGAAACUUCAGCGUGAUGACAUCAGUAGAGCAAGAACAGCAGCAUGCAGAUAUGAAUCUUCUUUACCCUGGUUGGUCUGGGUCCACAGUGGAACCAAGAAGGAGGCAACGUUCGCGUGGACUGAGCGGGCUGUCAGUCUGGUGGACCUGAGUGAUCUGGAAUGCAGGCGACUUCCGAACUGGCCCGGAUCAUGCAGUUCGUGCCUUCUGUAAGUUCAGUUGUCUCAUAUGCUGAAAUAUCUGUUUAAUGUGGGGAAAAUCAGGCAUUAUUCUGAAAAAUAGCCCUUCCUAUGUUAGUGUAAAUUCAAGCUGACCUGGAUAACUGCUGGAUUCUGCUGCUGCUGCUGAUUGUUGCAAGAGGAGAAGCUGUGUAUGGAGGUGGACUUUAAUGUUUCCUCAGCUCGCUAGGACAGCUUUUAAUAGGCAGGCAGGAAGGUGACUCCAGCUAACCACUGUUCUGCAGAGGAUGUCACACUGCAACUCAGACAAUUAGAUAAGGCUGCAGGAUUCUGUUGAAUGUUCACUUCCCUUACCAAAAUGUUGGGCUCUAAGAAGUUUUAAGGACCUUCCACCCAGUAACACUCCAUCCCUGGAAAUAUCUGAGUUUUUGCAAAAGGGACUGAACUCUUCCCGUGCUGUUCUUUGAUUUCAGCUUUUGUUCUUGCUACCUCUAUUGUCUGAAAAGAGCGAAUAGGAAGCAGGUUGGUUUGAUCUCCCUUUGUGCUGUGAUCUACCAUCCGUGCCAUCAAUCCAGAGGUUUUAAAGGGCAGAAGGAAGAAUGGGCACCAUCUGGCCUUACUUGGGUGUCGAGACACACACAGGGGCUAACCUCACCUGCUGCUGGGCUCUUGGCCUUGGGAAGGAAACUCCCAAAGCUCCUGGGCAUGGCCUGAAGGGAAAUGUUGCUUGCUGCAGGUGAGGCUGCUCUUCAUCUCCCCUGCCCUGAGGGAAGGGAAAAGCGUGUGUCCUAUUUCUAACCCUGGAUUACUCGUAGUGCCAGCCCUGUGAUGGCUGCAUUUUCACUAGGAUGCUAGGGAGAGGAAUUGAGUGGUUCUGUGGGAUGUUGCCAGUGGAGCUUUCACUGAGAUGGAAGUGUCCUGAUGAGGACUUCAAAGACAAAUGGCAGCUGGUGAGGGGAGGAGGCGAGCUCUUAAUCCCAUUAUGCUGUAAAAGCAGGGCAACAGCAACUCCAUUUUGUGAAAGGCCGGAUGGUGUUAAGUCUUUCAGCGUACAUCUGUCAGAAAAAAAGCCCUCGUGCUUCGGGCUGAGGACUGCCUAAUGAGCGUGUGGAACCUGAUUAGCAGAGGAAGAGCUAAAUGCUGAACUGGUCUUACCAGUGCAGCUCCGAGCGCACGCAGAAAGGCAGUGUAAGGUGUCAGAGCAGUUCCAGGAAGAAAAGAGAAGUGUCCCAGGGAGUCUGUGUGCUCCGGGAUCAGCGUCAACUGGAGAAAGGAAUUUUCCAGGACUUUAGGUGCUUGAAUUUUACUUCAGCACUUUUAUUAUCUCUGCCCCUCAACCCAAACUAAGGGAACAUCUCGUUCCCCACUGCUGUGGGCAGCCACCAGCAGCACUCGCCUUCCUCUGUUUGUUCCAUGCGCUGAUACAGAUCUAGUGCUGUGCAGUGUACACAGUCAUUCUUCGGGCUAGUUUUGGCACGUUACAUGCAGCUUUUUGCUGUUUUAUUGCGGAAUCUGAUUGACACAACGCUGGGAUGUCUGUGGAAAUGUCUGCAGUGUCGCUCUGGGAGAUUCCGUAAUUCCGCAAGGCAGAGAACUUGUUAAAGCAGGCUCGGGGUGCUUUGGGAGCUUGGCCUUGUUUUCUGAGAGGCCAGCUGCGGUUUGCAGGCAUCGUCUGAUGGGCUGGAGACUGAGUCAAUGCUGCAGCCAUUUCCUUCUGGUUUUCUUUUUGAUCCGUGAAACGCCUGGGAGCUGUGUUGAAGAGCAGCACGGUUUUGGCAAGCAGUCUGUACCCAGUCAGUGCUGCCUGGCAGAGGCUGAGAUUUCCAGCACCUGCCGGUUGUUUGUGAGCACGGGGGGGUGGAUUCUCGUGUUAGGAGUUCAGCGAAGGUACAAAGCCUCAUGGUGAUGUCCUGAGAAACAGCGAGUUUGUUCUUCUAGGGGCGGAAAGGACACACAUUGCAGUGAGCUCAGGGGUGGUGGGAGCUUUUUCUUUUGUGCCCCUCUUUUGCUUGGUGAAGGUUGGUCUCAAACCUCGACUGAAGGUCUCUGCUAGUGCUCGAGUCCUGCAGGAGGGCAAUGAUAAGAUAAACUGACUUUUAAGUUACAAAUUCUGUCUGGGGUGUCGUGCCUCACUGAAUGCAGGGCAGGGCAGGAACAGGCGCGAGACCAAAGCGUCGCUGUUUUGCAAUCACAAUGCACUGGAGCUGUGUGACUUGGUUCUGGAUGCAUGAGCUGGUUGCAGCUUGAUUGUUAGCCUCUGAUGUUAUCUCACCCCAAUAGUAAAGCAGUGUUCUUUGCCUGCCUCGGUAGGAAAAAUUGACUCUGCCACCUGCAAAAAUAGCAUGGGUUUAUAGCAGCCCAGGCUUAUCAGGUCUGGGGAUUUUGUUGUUGUUUCUGAAGUCUAUUUCAGUUGAUUAUGGCAGCUCAGUCUCAGAGAAACACUGAGCUGGACACCCCAAGCAGCUCUUGGAGGCUGGCCAUUGCUGAAGAGCAAGACUACAGAAUUUUACUUCUCUUAAAGCUGGUGAUGUCAGCAAAAUCCUGUGUUAUUCCUAGGAUUAUGUGCAAGUGGGAGUUCGUACAGCCUCCAGAAGAACUAAUUAAAAGGGAAGUUUCUGGGUGCUCUCAUGAUUUUGCGCAUUCCCUUCAAGCUGCUCCAGGAGGCUGAUGAAGAUAACUCUUACCAUAUGAAUUCGGGUCCCUCUCUCUCUAUUUAAACACACAGCAGGGGCCUUGACCUUGUUAGGCAGGCAGCUGAGCCUGCUAAACCCAUGUCAGAAGGCUUCUGAGCACUCUGAGCUUGGUGACUACUGAUCUUGCAGGGUUUCUUCAGCAGCAGUAGAGCUGACCUACAUUUUCCAUGUCAGCCCCUGGUCGCCGCUCUCGGUGCUGCCCCACUUAGCUUAGAGCUUUCUGUGCAGCGUCCCGCGGGCUUUGCUGAGCCUCAGCUCUGGGCUGCAGUUAACUGCUUCUGAGGUGUUUGUGGCUGAUAGCAGAACCUGAGGCCAUGACUGCAGUUAGAUUGGUUCCCUUCGGUAUUGAUUGUGCAUCUUUGGUUUGGGCAUCGAAUGACACAGCAGCAGGCUUGUGUUAGAUUGCUGGGGACAGAAGUCAGCCGGUGGUGGGGAAGGUGUGUGGUGCUCUGGUGGAGUUUGGUUUAGAGCAGCUGAAUCGUUGGGGAUGAAAUGUUCUAAAACUGUCUUCAGGUGCUCAGGGCUCUGCAGGCUGAGCAGAGGGUGGGAUGCUCUUCUUCAUUCUGCGGCUUCUGUGGGCUCGGCCCGUAGAUUUUCCUGAGGCUCUUUUUCAGAGCUGAGGUUGUGAAACAAAUGAGCUUUCUCCUCUACCAAGUGCUUUCCUCAUUUCUCACCCACCAGCCUGGGGGUGGCUGUGGGUUCAGAUCUUACGCAGUCACAUUCACCUGGCUGUGAGCUGGGGCUGUUUUCUGCCUCCUGUCCUGGAGCUUGAUGUAAUUUGCCCGUAAUUCCUGAGGGUGCUGGGAACCAUUUCUCUUCCCUCCGCAGCUGUCAGAGUGGGGCCCAUCCAUGCAGUGCUUUGGAGCCAGGGCUGUGCAGCGAGGUGAGGAGGAGGAGGGGGGCGAUGAAGCUGUUUAUCUCAGCAUCUCUUACCCCACAUGCUCUCGCACUUGAGUACCUAGCAACCCACUGAGCUUCACAAAGUUUUCUCUGUGUGGCUCUACUCCAGAAGUGCUGCUUGCAGUUCAUCUGGGGACUAGUUAUGCUUGCAGAUCAUAACUAAAAAAAAAUGUUUAAAGCUAAGUUAAGGGUUUGGUCUCAGUUCACUCCCCAGUGCUGUGCUGUCAAUGCAGAAAUGCCGAAACCAUCCUCGCACCGUGGCAGCAGUACGGAGUAGAAGCUGAAGCUGUUUUCUGAACAACGAAUUAAUAUAAUUGUCAACAGCACCGAUACCAAACGUACAGACUGGCAAGUAUUUAUGAAAGUAGAAAAGAGGGCAUCAGCUCAGCUGGGCAGCAGGAGUAACUUUUACAGGCUGUUGCUACACCGUGUGUGUGUGUUCUGAGAAACUGGACUUCAGCUGCCUGUAGUCGAUAAAGAGAGCUUUGUUUUUCUUACCAUUUCCUGAACACCAGCCUAGAGAUGUUUGCUAAUGGGGCAGUUUCUUCCCUAACGGGCUGAACAAAUGAUUUUAAUUGUUUAGCUCAGGUGUCUGCACAGUGUAAUGGACAGCUGCUGUUUGUUGGCCUGUGCUGGGAGCAGCUCCGGGAGGUUAUUUGGUGACAGUGCUGUUGGUGUGCGCAGGAGCCGGUCUAUAAAUAAGGUGGAGGGAAGAGCUGCAGCUGCAGAUAAAAGCUGUGCUGAACUCGGUUCUGACAGCCUUGGCCCAGAGGUUAGGAGCAGAGCUCAGCUUGCUGGGAACAACACUACCAUAGUAGGAAGCAGCCUUCUCCUCCAGCCCUAUGUAUUAAUGCAGCGCCGACCAUCAUAUAGCGGAGCUCAGCCGCGGAAUUCGGCUCUAGUAUUUUUAAACCUCGUGCUGUUGUGUUUGAAGGGGCUCAGACAUGUCACCUAAUUUGGAUAACGCUGUUUGCUGGCGCUGUGCUGGUAUCAUGGGCUAGUUGGAGAGGCAUUACAGUUAAUUUAAAACGCAUUACUCCCCUUUGAAGUUGGCUGAAGUUGCAGAGUUAGAGAGGCUCUGCUUGUGCCCUUACUUCCCUCCUCUUACUCCAAACAAAACGUAGUUUAUAGGAGUCAGAGCAGAGCAUUACAGGACACUUGGCUAACCCAGCUUUUACCCUUCGGAGUGCUUUAGCCUUGCCUAACACUGUAACGAGGGCUCUGAUGCUGUGACCUGGUGGGACCUGCACUGCUGCAGCAUGCUUACCGGCAGAAUUGCCUAAGUCUUGAGGAAGGGAAUAAGCCAUGACUAACAAAAGCAGCUGUAAGCAGGCUGGUCAUGGCUUGUAGCAAAUGCACUCUUGGUUAAUCUUCCUUCUGCCUAUGGAAGGUGGAAGGGGCCAGCAGCUACUGAGGGCUGGGGCAAUUUAGGAAAUAGAAAAGGACAAAAAAUAGAGAUGUAGUUGGGAAAGAAAUGUUUAUUUUAAGUUUCUCAGAGGGAUUUACAAACAAUGGAGCAUUUUAAAAAAAAUUGAGUGAUCAAAGUACUUGACAGUGUCCCUUAAACACACACACAAGCCCCUGGACAGAGGAAGUCACACCAGCGAGGAGGUCAAUACUGCUGGAAGAGCAGCUGGCAUCUGCAUAGUUCUAGAAGGAAAGAUUGCAAUGCUGUUGGUGCAAAUAUGUGUCAUCCUGGCAUUAAUAUAAGAGCACGCUGAAGUAUGUACGCAUGUACCUGCGGAAAACAAAGUGCAUAAAAUAACACACAAAGUAUGUAUUGUAGAAUAAAUUUAUUUACCUGAUACAAAUGAAACUAGGUGUGAUGCUUCUUACUGUCAGCAUGUAAAUAGACAACUGAUCUUAUUUACAACUUCUAAAGGUCAUACAUGCAGUUGUGGUAACUGGCUAAAUCAUUUGCUGCUUUCUAAAUAAAUGCAUCACAAUAUUUUGUAUUGCACCAACAUCUGUCUUACUGCCUUAAAUUUAAAUAAGUUACAUUACAGUGCAAAACAGGUUGAUUUGCACACAUGAUAAAAAAAUCCAAAGGUAUGAAUUGGAGGCUUACAGUUUAACAUUCAUCUGUAAUCUUUUCAAUGAGUUUUAUAAAUAGGAUAGCAUUGUACAUAAGCUGUUAUAGAGUAGUAUGUUUGGAUGAUACAAUACAGAGAUUUGUCUACAACCGAAGGCAUGCAGUUUUGAUAUUGUACAUUUUAUAAACUGACAUUUUACAUACAGGAAUAUGGAAAAUUGGCUGACAGCUCGGCGAUUCUUGUUCAAAGAUAAACAAACUCUUCUCCAUGCUGCACAGAACCCAAACUUCUCUGGAGAGAGUUUCCAAUUCUGUAACUAUAUUGCACAUUUGUACAUCUGAAGUCCUAAUGGUACCACACAUUUCUUCCACAGAGAACACAAUGAGUUUUGUUUUUAGGGAAAGCAAAGAAUCUUUACACAUGAUACAUGCAGAAGUUUUGGUAGAUGUGUUGCUAAAAACACAUGCACGCAACAAAACAACCUUACAUUUCUGCAAAAUUGUUUAGGAAGCGAUUACUCCAGUAUUGCUGAAAAGGAAAGAAAGAAAAGGAAACAGUUAAUAAAAGGAUGAAUGCAAAGUAUCAUUGUAAAAGCAAGACUAAGAUCAACAGUGACAGAAGAAAGAAUGUUAAGUCUGAUAACAACUGCUCUGUCAUUGAAGGGACACUCUCAGGUUACUUUGUUCUUAAAGCCCAGGACACUCUGGAUUAUGUCUCAGCUCUUCUGAAUUCAGCAGAGCUCCCUUUAUCAUCAAAGUCAGCACCUUCUCCAGAAGACCAUAAAUGAAGAUGAAUUGAGGUAUGUUUGGAUAGCGUUUGCAUUUCUUUGCCUGACUAGUGGUAAUAGUAAAAAGUAAAGGGAGACUCGUCUGUCUUUUAGCUUCUUAUAGUACCCAGUUUGAGCUAUUUUUUUCCCCUUUAAAAUAAAUAAUCUUGAAGAGUGUUCUUUUAAUUGAGGCAUUAUAGUGCAAGUUUGGCCCUGAAGUGACCUAACAAUGUCCCUUUUUUAAGUUACGCAGCUUAUUCUGGGAAGCAGUAGGAAAGCUCCGAAGAAGUCAUUAAACUACACAGAUUAAUGCGUAGGCAAAGGGUAGAGUACAGUAUAACUACUGGACUUUACCCCUAAAAUACAGCGAAAGGUUAGCCUUGGGUCUGGAAAAAGUGUACUCUGAUUGCCUAGAACUAAAGGGUGGCUCUUCAAAACAUUGCUUAACACUAAAAUUUAGGCUCUCCUGCUAGGAUUUGAGAAUGCAUAAUAUUAAUGCAAUUAAGGAUGUAAUUAGCAGAGAUUAGGGAAACAGUUAAUGGUUAGAAGUGCAAGAAGGUAAACAAGACAGGUGCAAGAGACAGACAAUUUUGUAUCAGUUUUUACCUCCCUUCAUCUCAGCAAAUUUAACCAUCUUUAAGCAGUUUACCACAUAUAGUCUGUGCAUCAGCUGUGUUCUUCGAACAGUGACAGAGGACUGCUGUACUGCAUUUUAUCAUCAGAUUAAGAACUCAUUUUCUUACCAUGAGCUUUCUCCAGAACGGCCUCUCUACAACCAUCAGCUUUGCAGCACUGUGAGAGACUGGGAUGUAUUUUUCUGCAGCUUCUUUCAUACUGAUUUAUUUGCGGUAAUGCUUUGAGAAACCAACCAUGGACUAAUUUUAGUGCCUGGAUACAGGCAAGAAGGAGCAGCUUGAGUUGUGCAGCUCAAAACCAGUACUUUGAAUCACUGCCAUUUGAAAGCUGAGAGCACCUGGGGCAUGACAAAGAUAAAAGCCCUUGUCUCCAUGUUGCUGGCAUAUGACUGCAGCUGCCUGACCAUCCUCUUUGCUCUGCUUUGGACCAGCCCACAGAACACUGAAUUCAGGAGGCACUGCUGUCAUAGCAAAACCCACUGGUUUCCCAGCAUAAGCUGGGAUCCCUCCUGGUGUUUCUCACAUAUGGUACCAUCAGUCACAAUCAACAUUUAAUCUUACACACCCCUCACGUGCUAGAAAACAAGCAAGGUGUGAGGAAUUCAGAAGACCAGAGAGAUGAAGCUCAGUGAGAUGAGAGCAAAGGGAAACAAAAGGAAUGAAGUUAUCUUCUUAAAGUUGAGAUGGGAAAUAAAACCUGAAAGCCCACAGCAGAGCAAUUUUAGUGCUGGGUGCUUGACCACAGGGGAAGAAGCACAUGGUAAGUCUUAAUGUUUGGCCAGUCCAGACCACACCAGGCUGGCCUGCAUCUUAUAGUGGCAACACCUGGAGAACAGAAGUACUGAAGUAUAACAGCAGUUGUCACUGAACCAACAAUAAUGAAGUACUGAUCAUAGGGAACCCUAUUGCUCCAUUUCUGCAAAGAGGUCUAGACAGCAAGACCAGGAGACAUCUAAAAAUAAUAAAGAAAAGCAAGGUAGGUUAAGAUCGCUUGGGCUCUUUAAGCAAACCCUACAAAACCAGGCUCCUGAGGUUGCAGAAGUAGUCAGGAGGGAUAAAUGCCACUCCAUUCGCCCACCAACAGCCUAGCUUUCAAAGGUAAACUCCAAGAAACAGAAGGCUCCUACUGCAAGUGAGACCCUGAGAUAACUGAUAGAAGUGAGCCCUCAGCAAGAUUUGUCUUCAGCAUACACAACUGAGUGUGCCAGACAAAGAUUCAACAGAACGUGUCAAAGACUGAAUUUUAAUUUAUCCAUUUUCCCCUUCAGUGUCUUAGAGAUGGGGAGAAAGGUGUUGUAUACAAGAAUUAUUUUGUGUAAUAGACAGGAAAAGAACUGUACAAGAAUUGCUCUCAACUACUGCCACAUACAUGGCUUAGAAAAGCACAGCUCUGGAGGUUUACACAGAGCCAUUGCUCAAAGAUUCAGUGGCUAUUCCUGCCCCCUUGAAAAAAAUCUGGCCACAAUUCUAUUGUUUCCAACAAAUGACAAUGGACGUGGAUAUAUUUUGAUCUCAAGGAAUUCUAAAUUACAUGACCUGUAAGUUUCCUGUUUGAAGAAACAGGAGCAAGCCUUAAAAUGCUCAGUUAGUAUUCAGACAGCAUCUGACUGGUGCUGGCCAUCGGUUUUGUGGUAUGCAAAACAUCCAGGUUGGCAAAGACAGGUUCCUCCUUACACAGAGGGCAUUCAAGCGAGUUCAACGCUUACAGCUCUACAAAAAAUCUCUUACAUCAUUUCUAUCUCCCCCUACCUGAGUCACUUCUGCAUCAGUUAAAGUAUAUCAAUGUUUACAUAAACAGGGAGUAUUCGCAAUGCAGUGGACUUUCAAAUCAGGUCUGUAUUCUGAGGCUGGCAUGUAUAUCUGAAAGCUUGAAACCUAAAGGAUUAAUCUGUGCUCACUGGAUUCCAGCUGGCUCUAAAAGAGCAGAGAGGAAAAUGGUAGUUAAAAGCUAUGAGGAGUAAGAAAGCUGUUUGAAUUUGGUUAUUAAAGCAGAUUUCAAGCCAACACAAGAUAACACAGCACCUGCUACUCAACAAAGGCAUUAUGACCCUCGUACAAUUUUCAAAGACUAUCCUGUGAAGCCAAGACUGUUCUUUUGUCUUUUUGUAUGACCACUGUUCAAAGUGUUUCCAUUCAUUGGAAACAAUAAGCUGCUUUUGCAAAGAGGAGCAGAGAAGCACCUGCGCAUUGAGCACUGUGUGGAUUAUUCCUAGAGAAGGGCUGGUGUGCUCAGAGGAGGACAAAACCUCAGAGUAAACCAGCACCUGACCAUGAGUACUAGUGUUCUGCACACUAAACAUUCAUAUAAACACCUGUCAUUGUCUUAAGUUACAGAUUUAUCCAAUUUUAUCUUGAACUUAAGACAAAGCUGUAGGAUCUUGGGGUACACUAAGGCUCCUGGCUGCUCUAAAACAAGCUCUAAAAUGCACUAAAACAAAAGCAAGCGCUUUACCUUCAGAAUCAGUAAUUUCAGCUUCACACCAUAAAACGAGAGUCUAAAGUGGUGAUAAUAAUGUAGCACAGCAGAAUUUGACAAAACACAGCAUGGGAAUGAAGGAAAUUACUAUUUAUUCUUCAACAUGUAUACAGCAUAUGCUAUUUUACAGCAAGUCACCACUGGCAUGGUGAAAUGGAAGAGAAAUACUCACUUUAGUCGAUGAAAGUUGGAAGGCAUUGGAGAAAAACACCACAGUUAGGACUGUUAAUGACUUACACGUUGUUGAUACAGGACUGAAUUUGAAAACAUGCUUUAACAUUUACCGUAAUAAUGAAGGUGGUUAGUGCCACAUUAAAAUAAAAAUAGUUCUAUACAAUAUGUUCAAUUUGGUCAUGUGCUAUUUACAGAUUUUACAAAACACACACACGAGCUUGUUACUUCAAGUCAGGCUAACAACAGGCCAGCAGAGUAACUCCAUGUAUACAACUUAGCAUUAGUGCCCUAAGUGUAGGAAAUCCAAUUUCUAGCUAUGCAGUGCAAGUUAUUUUUCCAGGUCUCAUUACAAGUUUUGAUCUUAAAGGGGGAAGAAAAAAAAAA